Molecule: ribosomal RNA, 432 nt
Filed under: uncultured bacterium
Lineage: Bacteria
Description: partial 16S ribosomal RNA
Rfam family: Bacterial small subunit ribosomal RNA
Source: RNAcentral
CCUACGGGAGGCAGCAGUAGGGAAUAUUGGACAAUGGGCGAAAGCCUGAUCCAGCCAUGCCGCGUGAUAGAUGAAGGCCUCUGGGUUGUAAAUAUCUUUUAUCUGGGAAGCGGUACCAGAGGAAUAAGCACCGGCUAACUCCGUGCCAGCAGCCGCGGUAAUACGGAGGGUGCAAGCGUUAUCCGGAUUCACUGGGUUUAAAGGGUGCGUAGGCGGGUAUAUAAGUCAGUGGUGAAAGCUCCGGGCUUAACUUGGAAAUUGCCAUUGAUACUGUAUAUCUUGAAUAUCGUAGAGGUUAGCGGAAUGUUGCAUGUAGCGGUGAAAUGCUUAGAUAUGUUACAGAACACCAAUUGCGAAGGCAGCUAACUAUGCGAUAUUGACGCUGAGGCACGAAAGCGUGGGGAGCAAACAGGAUUAGAUACCCUUGUAGUC